RNAcentral lists this ribosomal RNA (256 nucleotides) under uncultured bacterium. Its description in RNAcentral is "partial 16S ribosomal RNA". It matches the Rfam family "Bacterial small subunit ribosomal RNA", at positions 524 to 776 of the family's 1533-position model. The record is from RNAcentral.
UACGUAGGGUGCAAGCGUUAUCCGGAAUUAUUGGGCGUAAAGAGCUCGUAGGCGGUUUGUCGCGUCUGCUGUGAAAACCCGAGGCUCAACCUCGGGCCUGCAGUGGGUACGGGCAGACUAGAGUGCGGUAGGGGAGAUUGGAAUUCCUGGUGUAGCGGUGGAAUGCGCAGAUAUCAGGAGGAACACCGAUGGCGAAGGCAGAUCUCUGGGCCGUAACUGACGCUGAGGAGCGGAAAAGGGGUGGGGAGCAAACAGG